RNAcentral lists this unclassified non-coding RNA (1139 nucleotides) under Hevea brasiliensis (rubber tree). Lineage: Eukaryota; Viridiplantae; Streptophyta; Magnoliopsida; Malpighiales; Euphorbiaceae. The record is from RNAcentral.
GCUUCUGCUUUCCGUUGCUAUUUCUCACACUAUUUAUAGGUGCAAGGAAGACUCUGAUGGAGGGGAAAGCAGAGGUAGUAACAAUGAAGCCAAAUACUGAUGAGCUUCUUUCUAAACAAAUAAUGAAGCAGGAUGCAGCAGCAACAGAAAAAGAAGAAAUUCAAAUGCGAUGUGACGACGUAAUGAAGCCAAAUAAUGAUAAACUUCUCUCUAAACAAAGAAUGAAGCAGGAAGCAGUAGCAACAGAAAAAGAAGGAAUUCAAAUGCAAUGCGACGACACAAUUACAGAUCAAGAGAUGAAUAAAAUUGAACUAAUGAGGGCUCUUGUUGAAAAACAAGAUCCUUCUUCCAAGGAAAUAGACGACUAUGCCUUGAGAAGGUUUCUUCGAGCUCGUGAUCUAGACAUAGAGAAAUCUGCAGCAAUGUUCUUGAAAUACCUUAAGUGGAGACAAAGUUUUGUACCAAAAGGGUCCAUUUUGGUGAGUGAGAUACCAAACGAGAUUGCACAGAACAAGAUGUUCAUGCAAGGUGUAGACAAACAGGGUUGUCCUAUUGCUGUAGUUUUUGGUGGCAGGCAUAUUCAAAACAAAUUAGGAGGUGUUGAAGAGUUCAAACGUUUUAUAGUCUUUGCUCUGGACAAAUUGUGUGCAAGGACCUCACCAGGAAGAGAGAAGUUCACAAUAAUCGGAGAUCUCCAAAAUUUUGGCUAUUGUAACAGUGAUGUUCGUGCCUAUCUUGCGGCCCUAUCCAUCGUGCAGGAUUGCUACCCGGAAAGACUAGGCAAAGUACUUCUUGUUCAUGUUCCUUACAUAUUUUGCACAUUAUGGAAGAUUUUGUAUCCUUUCAUAGACAACCACACCAAGAAAAAGAUCAUGUUUGUGGAAAACAAACGGCUGACAGCAACCUUACUUCAAGAUAUUGAUGAAAGCCAGCUUCCGGAGACUUACGGAGGCAAAAUGCAAUUAGUUCCUAUACAGGACGCCUAGGCAAGUAAUUGCCCUACAAGCUUCAACUGUAUCAAGUUGACAGUGCUUUAUUUUUAAUAGCUUUGAGGAAAAACAUUAAAUAGCAAAUAUACAUCUAUAUCCAUUACUAAACAUUCAGCUUUUACAUGGAGUAGAAAAUAAAUGACAUAUUUU